This 911-nucleotide ribosomal RNA is filed under the name uncultured bacterium. RNAcentral describes it as "bacterial SSU rRNA". It matches the Rfam family "Bacterial small subunit ribosomal RNA", at positions 1 to 928 of the family's 1533-position model. The record is from RNAcentral.
GAAUUCGCCCUUAGAGUUUGAUCCUGGCUCAGGAUAAACGCUGGCGGCGUGCCUAACACAUGCAAGUCGAACGUCCUCUCUUGCUUCGGCGAGAGAGGGAGUGGCGGACGGGUGAGUAACACGUGGGAACCUGCCCUCAGGUGAGGAAUACCACCGGGAAACCGGUGACAAGACCGCAUAGGCUCUCGCACGAGAGCAAAGCUUCCGUCAGGAGGCGCCUGGGGAGGGGCCUGCGGCCGAUUAGCUAGCUGGUGGGGUAAAGGCCUACCAGGGCGACGAUCGGUAGCUGGUCUGAGAGGACGAGCAGCCACACUGGGAUUGAGAACGGCCCAGACUCCUACGGGGGGCAGCAGUGAGGAAUUUUCGGCAAUGGGCGCAAGCCUGACCGAGCAACGCCGCGUGCAGGAAGACGGCCUUCGGGUUGUAAACUGCUUUUCUCAGGGACGAGCAAGGACGGUACCUGAGGAACAAGCUCCGGCUAACUACGUGCCAGCAGCCGCGGUAAGACGUAGGGAGCCAGCGUUGUCCGGAGUUACUGGGCGUAAAGGGCACGCAGGCGGUCGGUCGCGUUGCCUCUGAUAGCCGUCGGCUUAACUGACGGAGGCGGGGCAAAACGGGCCGACUCGAGGCUCAGAGAGGCAGACGGAAUUCCGCGUGGAGCGGUGAAAUGCGUAGAGAUGCGGAAGAACACCAAAGGCGAAGGCAGUCUGCUGGCUGAGAGCUGACGCUCAGGUGCGAAAGCCAGGGGAGCGAACAGGAUUAGAUACCCUGGUAGUCCUGGCUGUAAACGAUGACCACUAGAUAUGCGGGGUAUCGACCCCCUGCGUGUCGGAGCUAACGCAAGAAGUGGUCCGCCUGGGGAGUACGGUCGCAAGAUUAAAACUCAAAGGAAUUGACGGAAGGGCGAAUUC